AUGCCAAUCCUGAUCCCAGUCCCAAAUCCCAAAUCUCGAAUCCUGAUCCCAAAUCCCAACCCCAAAUCCCAAAUCUCGAUCACAAAACUUGAUGCCAUUCCCAAUCCCUGUCACAAAUCACAAAUCCCAAACCCCAAAUCCCAAAUCCUCAUCCCAAAUUCCCACCUCAAAUCCCAACCCCAAAUACUCAUCCCCAUCCCAAUCCCAACCCCAAAUACUCAUCCUAAAUCCCAACCCCAAAUCCCAAUCCCAACCUCAAAUACUCAUCCCAAACCCCAAUCCCAACCCCAAAUCCCAACCCCAACCCCAAAAUACUCAUCCCAACCCCAAAUACUCAACCCAAACCCCAACCCCAACCCCAAAUACUCAUCCCCAUCCCAAUCCCAGCCCCAAAUACUCAUCUCAAAUCCCAACCCCAGCCCCAAUCCCAUCCCCACCGACGUCACCGCGCGCAGGGCGUGCACUGCACCGCGAGGUUCACCGGCGCCGCCCGUCCCCAAAUCCCAACCCCAACCCCAAAUACUCAUCCCAACCCCAAAUACUCAUCCAAACCCCAAAUACUCAUCCCAACCCCAAAUACUCAUCCAAACCCCAAAUACUCAUCCCAAACCCCAAAUACUCAUCCCAAAUCCCAACCCCAACCCCAACCCCAAAUACUCAUCCAAACCCCAAAUACUCAUCCCAAACCCCAACCCCAAAUCCCAACCCCAAUCCCAUCCUUGUGUCGUCACCGCACGCAGGGCGCGCACUGCACCGCGCGGUUCACCAGCGCCGCCCGUCCCAAAUCCCAACCCCAAAUCCCAAAUACUCAUCCCAAAUCCCAAUCCCAACCCCAAAUCCCCAUCCCAAAUCCCAUCCUUGCGUCGUCACCGCGCGCAGGGCGUGCACUGCACCCCGCGUGUCACCGGCGCCGCCCGUCCCCAAUUCCCACCCCAAAUCCCAAUCUCAACCCCAAAUACUCAUCCCAAUCCCAAAUCCCAAUCCCAACCCCAAAUCCCAACCCCAAACCCCAAAUCGCAAUCCCAACCCCAAAUAUCCCAACUCCCAACUCCUAAAUCCCAACCCCAACCCCAAAUAGUCAUCCCAAACCCCAAUCCCAACCCCAAAUACUCAUCACAAAUCCCAACCCCAACCCCAAAUACUCAUCCCAACCACAAAUACUCAUCCCAAAUACUCAUCCCAACCCCAAAUCCCAACUCCAAACCCCAAUCCCAACCCAAAUCCCAUCCCAACCGGCGU
Molecule: long non-coding RNA, 1239 nt
Filed under: Taeniopygia guttata (zebra finch)
Lineage: Eukaryota; Metazoa; Chordata; Aves; Passeriformes; Estrildidae
Description: lncRNA (ENSTGUG00000021833.1)
Source: RNAcentral